AUGCUUAACACAUGCAAGUCGAACGGAAAGGCCCUUCGGGGUACUCGAGCGGCGAACGGGUGAGUAACACGUGAGCGAUCUGCCCUUAGCUUCGGGAUAGCUCCGGGAAACCGGAAUUAAUACCGGAUAUUACCUCGGCCGACAUCGGCCCUGGUGGAAAGAUUUAUCGGCUAAGGAUGAGCUCGCGGCCUAUCAGCUUGUUGGUGGGGUAACGGCCCACCAAGGCGACGACGGGUAGCCGGCCUGAGAGGGCGACCGGCCACACUGGGACUGAGACACGGCCCAGACUCCUACGGGAGGCAGCAGUGGGGAAUAUUGCGCAAUGGGCGAAAGCCUGACGCAGCGACGCCGCGUGCGGGAUGAAGGCCUUCGGGUUGUAAACCGCUUUCAGCAGGGACGAAGCGAAAGUGACGGUACCUGCAGAAGAAGCGCCGGCUAACUACGUGCCAGCAGCCGCGGUAACACGUAGGGCGCGAGCGUUGUCCGGAAUUAUUGGGCGUAAAGAGCUCGUAGGUGGUCCGCUACGUCUGCUGUGAAAAUCCAGGGCUUAACCCUGGACUUGCAGUGGAUACGGGCGGACUAGAGGUAGGUAGGGGAGAAUGGAAUUCCCGGUGUAGCGGUGAAAUGCGCAGAUAUCGGAAGGAACACCAGUGG
This 654-nucleotide ribosomal RNA is filed under the name uncultured bacterium. RNAcentral describes it as "bacterial SSU rRNA". It matches the Rfam family "Bacterial small subunit ribosomal RNA", at positions 44 to 715 of the family's 1533-position model. The record is from RNAcentral.